GUGAAAUCCCAAGCAAGAAGAGACCAAGGUCUAUGAUAGGGUUUGGAUGAAGUGGCAGGUGCCAUGAACCCAUGCUCAGGCCGAAGUAUACCCAUGAGAAGAAAGCUGCGAAUCCAAAGAGCAAAGACAAGGUGUUUAUGAAACUGAUGGCGAUUUUCUUGCUUUUGUUUGACAUUCUUCUCUUCAUUUGUGUAGUUUUUGGUCAAAG
This 208-nucleotide unclassified non-coding RNA is filed under the name Hevea brasiliensis (rubber tree). Lineage: Eukaryota; Viridiplantae; Streptophyta; Magnoliopsida; Malpighiales; Euphorbiaceae. The record is from RNAcentral.